GAUGAAGAACGCAGCGAAAUGCGAUAAGUAAUGUGAAUUGCAGAAUUCAGUGAAUCAUCGAGUCUUUGAACGCACAUUGCGCCCCCUGGUAUUCCGGGGGGCAUGCCUGUCCGAGCGUCAUUGCUGCCCUCAAGCACGGCUUGUGUGUUGGGCCCCCGUCCCCGAUUUCCCCCGGGGACGGGCCCGAAAGGCAGCGGCGGCACCGCGUCCGGUCCUCGAGCGUAUGGGGCUUUGUCACCCGCUCUGUAGGCCCGGCCGGCGCCAGCCGACACCCAACUUUAUUUCUAAGGUUGACCUCGGAUCAGGUAGGGAUACCCGCUGAACUUAAGCAUAUCAAUAAGCGGAGGA
This 348-nucleotide unclassified non-coding RNA is filed under the name soil metagenome. Its description in RNAcentral is "partial contains 5.8S ribosomal RNA, internal transcribed spacer 2, and large subunit ribosomal RNA". The stretch from base 1 to 120 matches the Rfam family "5.8S ribosomal RNA", at positions 35 to 154 of the family's 154-position model. The record is from RNAcentral.